UGGCUCAGGACGAACGCUGGCGGCGUGCUUAACACAUGCAAGUCGAGCGGAAAGGCCCUUCGGGGUACUCGAGCGGCGAACGGGUGAGUAACACGUGAGUAAUCUGCCCCAGGCUCUGGGAUAGCCACCGGAAACGGUGAUUAAUACCGGAUACGACAACCGAUUGCAUGAUCUGGUUGUGGAAAGUUUUUCGGCCUGGGAUGUGCUCGCGGCCUAUCAGCUUGUUGGUGAGGUAAUGGCUCACCAAGGCUUCGACGGGUAGCCGGCCUGAGAGGGUGACCGGCCACACUGGGACUGAGACACGGCCCAGACUCCUACGGGAGGCAGCAGUGGGGAAUAUUGGACAAUGGGCGGAAGCCUGAUCCAGCAACGCCGCGUGAGGGAUGACGGCCUUCGGGUUGUAAACCUCUUUCAGCACAGACGAAGCGCAAGUGACGGUAUGUGCAGAAGAAGGACCGGCCAACUACGUGCCAGCAGCCGCGGUAAUACGUAGGGUCCGAGCGUUGUCCGGAAUUAUUGGGCGUAAAGGGCUCGUAGGCGGUCUGUCGCGUCGGGAGUGAAAACCAGGUGCUUAACACCUGGCCUGCUUUNGANANGGGCAGACUAGAGGUACUCAGGGGAGAAUGGAAUUCCUGGUGUAGCGGGUGAAAUGCGCNNNNNUANCAGGAGGA
Molecule: ribosomal RNA, 671 nt
Filed under: Nocardioides luteus
Lineage: Bacteria; Bacillati; Actinomycetota; Actinomycetes; Propionibacteriales; Nocardioidaceae
Description: bacterial SSU rRNA
Rfam family: Bacterial small subunit ribosomal RNA
Source: RNAcentral